CACACGCUCCCUAGAGACCUUCCCUCUACCGCGUGCCCUCGUGGUUUGGAAUUCGCGCCAGAAGCCCAGGGAUCCGGCAGGGCGCGGGAAUUGGGAGCGACCGAGUCCCGCAGCAGAGAGCCGGCCGGGAGGGACGCGAGACUGAGGAUGCAGCCCCUGAUUUAAAUGCAUACCCGAGGCAAAGGCCAACAUAAAUUUUUACUUCGGCCCAGAAACGUGCUCCGUUUUCCAUGAAGACCAAGGGGACACGGGUUCGAGCCCUGUUCCGGGAAGAUCCCACAUGCCACAGUGCAACUAAGCCAGUGCGCCACAACUACUGAGCCUGUGCUCUAGAACCCGCGAGCCCCAACUACUGAGCCAGCACGCCUAGAGCUGGUGCUCCACAACAAGAGAAGCCACCGCAGUGAGAAGCCUGCACACCGCAACGAAGAGUAGCCCCCGCUCGCCGCAACUAGAGAAAACCCACACACAGCAACGAAGACC
Molecule: long non-coding RNA, 483 nt
Organism: Physeter macrocephalus (sperm whale)
Lineage: Eukaryota; Metazoa; Chordata; Mammalia; Artiodactyla; Physeteridae
Exons: 4
Source: RefSeq, a predicted model, not a curated record